GGCUCGGUAGCGCUGGGUGCGCGUCUGCUCCCAUUUGACUGUUGGGACGCAAAAUAACUGCAGAGUAUGCCUGUUCGAUUCAGGCUCGAGCCA
This is a non-coding RNA of Mycena latifolia, 93 nucleotides long. Lineage: Eukaryota; Fungi; Basidiomycota; Agaricomycetes; Agaricales; Mycenaceae. The record is from the annotation of a GenBank genome assembly.